RNAcentral lists this ribosomal RNA (1350 nucleotides) under Triticum aestivum (bread wheat). Its description in RNAcentral is "partial small subunit ribosomal RNA". Lineage: Eukaryota; Viridiplantae; Streptophyta; Magnoliopsida; Poales; Poaceae. The record is from RNAcentral.
AUGGUCUUGUGUCGAGUCAAUGGAUUUUUGCGCGAGUGCAUCUGCUCACAGGGAAUGCAGGAGAACCUUGUAUAUGAACUUGCCGGCACUUGCAGCCUCCCCCAACGCACUGGGCGUCAUCUUGUCAUAUUGGAAAGCUGGGGUAGGGAUAGGAUUGUGCUCGAGAGCAUUGACUUGUCAAGGCUGCGGUCAAUGACAGUGUUUGGGGAGUGGAAACCAUUCUUCAUCUCCCAGAGCACGAAGCUUCUCAGGGUGUUGGAUCUGGAGGAUGCAGUCGGUGUAACAAAUGAUGAUGUCGAGCAGAUGGUCAAGCUGUUGCCUUGCCUCAUGUUCCUCUCCCUACGAGGAUGCGACCAGAUCUUCCAGCUGCCUAGGUCAUUAGGUGAUCUGAGGCAGCUUCAGACUUUGGAUGUGACAAACACAUCCAUAAUCACUCUGCCAGCAUCCAUCACCAAACUACAAAAGCUCCAGUACAUUCGUGCCGGCGCUGCUGCAACCGCAUCACAGGGACCAACAGCAACCACAGGAAAUGACCAAACACCACAAGCUAUUGUGCCCGUGGUUUCCGGGUUUUUCAUACCUGACCAUCCUCUUCGUUGUGUUGUGCCCAGAGGGAUUGGGAAACUGACGGCAUUGCACACUCUAGGUGUUGUCAAUAUUGGUGCUUCAGAGGGGGAGGCCAUACUGAAAGAGCUAAAGAAUCUCACCCAAUUGCGCAAGUUGGGUGUGUUCGGCGUCAGCAGGAAAAAUAGUGAGGCGUUUUCCUCCGCAAUAUCAAGUCAUGUCCAUUUGAGAUCCUUGUCAGUGUGGCUCGAGGAAGAAAGCAGAGGUUGUUUAGGUGACAUGUCCCUGCCUUUGGAGAACUUACUAAGCCUUAAACUGUAUGGGCUUCGGGACAGGUUGCCAGUUCUACAGGUCAACCAGCUUAGCAAGCUCACAAAGUUACAUUUGAAGAUGAACACUUUAAUGGACGAGGCCAUAGAGUCCCUUGGCAAGCUACCAAAACUAUGCAUUCUACGCCUUUGUGUCAACCAACCUGAAUAUGGCCAGCUCCGUUUUCAUGUCUUUACGGAUGGACUUGAGGAGCUCUCUUAUCAGAAGGUGAAGGUCCUUGACAUUGCUUGCAGGUCCAGCGUACAUGUCAAUUUUGGAUCAGAAGCAAUGAAAAAACUAGAGCUGCUGACAGUUGAGUGCUACUAUGGGUCAUCGUAUCAGUUUUCUGGCCUGGGUCAUCUAUCUCAACUGAAGGAAGUCUGGCUGAAGGGUUCCUACGAGGAAGCACUGAAGGAACAACUGCAGGGCCAGCUUGCAUCCCAUCCAAUGGAACCUGUGCUGAAGCUGGAGGAGUAA